RNAcentral lists this non-coding RNA (45 nucleotides) under Schistosoma bovis. Lineage: Eukaryota; Metazoa; Platyhelminthes; Trematoda; Strigeidida; Schistosomatidae. RNAcentral also lists the same sequence under 1 other name. The record is from RNAcentral.
AUCAAACUGACGAGUCUUAAAUAGGACGAAACGCAUGUCCUGAAU